This 570-nucleotide unclassified non-coding RNA is filed under the name Hevea brasiliensis (rubber tree). The record is from RNAcentral. Lineage: Eukaryota; Viridiplantae; Streptophyta; Magnoliopsida; Malpighiales; Euphorbiaceae.
UAUGUAUAAUUUGCUAUUUAAUACCAUACUCUGCUUAAUCUGUAACAAAUCUGAAGCUUAACGAUACUGUUUUUGAACGACUGUGCUCUCUGUUCAGCGCUGUUUAGUGAUAUAUGCAUCUUUUCGUUGACUUAUGAAGAUUUUUGAGAUGCGUUAUUGAAUUUAUGUCUGAAAUUGAAAUUCGCAUCUAAUUAUUUUUUGAUACCAAACAAAAAUUUGUAUUUGUCUUUGUUAACUAUAUUCGCUUUUAUAUAAAGAAAAUAUUAAAAAAGCCAAUUUUAAUAUUUAAUCUCACAAAUGUAAUAAUGGGUGUUCAUUUUUUUUUAAUUGAUUUUUUUUUUCAUGAUUCUUGUGCAAUGUGUAAGGCCUUUCUGUUGCCCGACCUUAGUGUUAUUUUUCCCCCUUGAUUGUGCCAGUGUUGUAUGUUCGUCAAUGCCUGUGCAUUUUAGUUUUAAUUUUAAUUUUAACCGAUCCCUCUGUUCUGUUGUUUUAAAUUGCCACUCUAGUCUUCUGUUUGUACAUACUAAAUUUAGAAUUGAUAUUACAGAUGCGAAGAGGUUGAUUGGAAGG